GAUGAACGCUAGCGGCAGGCCUAACACAUGCAAGUCGAGGGGUAGAACACUUCGGUGUUUGAGACCGGCGCACGGGUGCGUAACGCGUAUGCAAUCUACCUUAUACAGGGGAAUAGCCCAGAGAAAUUUGGAUUAAUGCCCCAUAGCAUUACGACUUGGCAUCAAGAUGUAAUUAAAGUUCCAACGGUAUAAGAUGAGCAUGCGUCCCAUUAGUUAGUUGGUAAGGUAACGGCUUACCAAGACGAUGAUGGGUAGGGGUCCUGAGAGGGGGAUACCCCACACUGGUACUGAGACACGGACCAGACUCCUACGGGAGGCAGCAGUGAGGAAUAUUGGUCAAUGGUCGCAAGACUGAACCAGCCAUGCCGCGUGCAGGAAGACGGUCCUAUGGAUUGUAAACUGCGUUUAUACAGGAAGAAGCCCUCCCACGUGUGGGAGCUUGACGGUACUGUAGGAAUAAGGAUCGGCUAACUCCGUGCCAGCCGCCGCCGUAA
This 494-nucleotide ribosomal RNA is filed under the name uncultured bacterium. RNAcentral's name for it is "partial 16S ribosomal RNA". It matches the Rfam family "Bacterial small subunit ribosomal RNA", at positions 28 to 523 of the family's 1533-position model. The record is from RNAcentral.